This 103-nucleotide small nucleolar RNA is filed under the name Ictidomys tridecemlineatus (thirteen-lined ground squirrel). Its description in RNAcentral is "Spermophilus tridecemlineatus (thirteen-lined ground squirrel) Small nucleolar RNA U13". It matches the Rfam family "Small nucleolar RNA U13". The record is from Rfam by way of RNAcentral. Lineage: Eukaryota; Metazoa; Chordata; Mammalia; Rodentia; Sciuridae.
AACCUUUGUGAUUCAUAAGUAUGAUGUUUGGGUGUUCACACCAUUGUAUGAGCUAUUCCUCCCUUAAAUCUUGUUAGGCUGUGGUUAUAUUACUGGUCUGUUG